This 1007-nucleotide ribosomal RNA is filed under the name human gut metagenome. RNAcentral describes it as "bacterial LSU rRNA". It matches the Rfam family "Bacterial large subunit ribosomal RNA", at positions 1526 to 2503 of the family's 2925-position model. The record is from RNAcentral.
GUUUGAGUAGGAAAAUCCGCUCAGGCGUAAUGACGUGAGGCGUAAUGAGGAGGCUCUACGGAGCCGAAGGUGUUGACUCCACACUGCCAAGAAAAACUUCGCAAUCAAGAUUAUCCGGUAUCCGUACCGCAAACCGCCACAGGUAGGUUGGUAGAAAAUACUAAGGUGCGCGAGACAACUCUCGCUAAGGAACUCGGCAAAAUCACCUCGUAACUUCGGGAGAAGAGGUACCCUGGUAGCGUGAAGCGAUUUACUCGUGAAGCGUGAUAGGGUCGCAGUGAAUAGGCCCAAGCGACUGUUUACCAAAAACACAGGUCUCUGCUAAGUCGAACAAGACGAUGUAUAGGGGCUGACGCCUGCCCGGUGUCGGAAGGUUACGCGGAAGGGUUAGAGGUAACUCGAAGCUCUGAAGCUAAGCCCCGAUGAACGGCGGCCGUAACUAUAACGGUCCUAAGGUAGCGAAAUUCCUUGUCAGGUAAGUUCUGACCCGCACGAAUGGCGUAACGAUUUGGGCGCUGUCUCGGCGAGAGGCUCGGCGAAAUUGUAGUAUCCGUGAAGAUACGGAUUACGUAUACCAGGACAGAAAGACCCUAUUGAGCUUUACUGUAGCUUGAAAUUGAAUUCGGGUUCUUAUUGUGCAGUAUAGGUGGGAGACUAUGAAGCAAGGACGUCAGUUCUUGUGGAGUCAUCGUUGAGAUACCACUCUGUAAUAAUUUGAAUUCUAACACUGAUCCCUCCAAAAACAGGGCAGUGGACAGUUUCUGGUAGGCAGUUUGACUGGGGCGGUCGCCUCCUAAAAAGUAACGGAGGCGUUCAAAGGUUCCCUCAGGUUGGUCGGAAAUCAACCGUUGAGUGCAAUAGCAAAAGGGAGCUUGACUGCGAGACACACAAGUCGAGCAGGUGCGAAAGCAGGAUAUAGUGAUCCGGUGGUUCUGCAUGGAAGGGCCAUCGCUCAUCGGAUAAAAGUUACCAUAGGGAUAACAGGCUUAUCUCCCCCAAGAGUCCAC